GUGAACGCUGGCGGUAGGCCUAACCCCUGCAAGUCGAACGGCAGCACAGUAAGAGCUUGCUCUUACGGGUGGCGAGUGGCGGACGGGUGAGGAAUACAUCGGAAUCUACUUUUUCGUGGGGGAUAACGUAGGGAAACUUACGCUAAUACCGCAUACGACCUACGGGUGAAAGCAGGGGAUCUUCGGACCUUGCGCGAUUGAAUGAGCCGAUGUCGGAUUAGCUAGUUGGCGGGGUAAAGGCCCACCAAGGCGACGAUCCGUAGCUGGUCUGAGAGGAUGAGCAGCCACACUGGAACUGAGACACGGUCCAGACUCCUACGGGAGGCAGCAGUGGGGAAUAUUGGACAAUGGGCGCAAGCCUGAUCCAGCCAUACCGCGUGGGUGAAGAAGGCCUUCGGGUUGUAAAGCCCUUUUGUUGGGAAAGAAAAGCAGCAGGUUAAUACCCCGCUGUUCUGACGGUACCCAAAGAAUAAGCACCGGCUAACUUCGUG
This 491-nucleotide ribosomal RNA is filed under the name uncultured bacterium. Its description in RNAcentral is "partial 16S ribosomal RNA". It matches the Rfam family "Bacterial small subunit ribosomal RNA", at positions 29 to 507 of the family's 1533-position model. The record is from RNAcentral.